UGCAGCCAUGCCGCGUGUGUGAAGAAGGCCUUCGGGUUGUAAAGCACUUUCAGUUGUGAGGAAAAGUUAGUAGUUAAUACCUGCUAGCCGUGACGUUAACAACAGAAGAAGCACCGGCUAACUCCGUGCCAGCAGCCGCGGUAAUACGGAGGGUGCGAGCGUUAAUCGGAAUUACUGGGCGUAAAGCGCACGCAGGCGGUUUGUUAAGCUAGAUGUGAAAGCCCCGGGCUCAACCUGGGAUGGUCAUUUAGAACUGGCAGACUAGAGUCUUGGAGAGGGGAGUGGAAUUCCAGGUGUAGCGGUGAAAUGCGUAGAUAUCUGGAGGAACAUCAGUGGCGAAGGCGACUCCCUGGCCAAAGACUGACGCUCAUGUGCGAAAGUGUGGGUAGCGAACAGGAUUAGAUACCCUGGUAGUCCACACCGUAAACGCUGUCUACUAGCUGUGUGUGCCUUUAAGGCGUGCGUAGCGAAGCUAACGCGCUAAGUAGACC
This 491-nucleotide ribosomal RNA is filed under the name Alteromonas sp. Its description in RNAcentral is "bacterial SSU rRNA". It matches the Rfam family "Bacterial small subunit ribosomal RNA", at positions 387 to 870 of the family's 1533-position model. The record is from RNAcentral. Lineage: Bacteria; Pseudomonadati; Pseudomonadota; Gammaproteobacteria; Alteromonadales; Alteromonadaceae.